RNAcentral lists this ribosomal RNA (441 nucleotides) under uncultured bacterium. Its description in RNAcentral is "bacterial SSU rRNA". It matches the Rfam family "Bacterial small subunit ribosomal RNA", at positions 28 to 484 of the family's 1533-position model. The record is from RNAcentral.
GACGAACGCUGGCGGCGUGCUUAACACAUGCAAGUCGAACGGAAAGGCCCAGCUUGCUGGGUACUCGAGUGGCGAACGGUGAGUAACACGUGGGUGAUCUGCCCCAAACUUCGGGAUAAGCCUGGGAAACUGGGUCUAAUACCGGAUAUGACCUGCUCCUGCAUGGGGGUUGGUGGAAAGCUUUUGCGGUUUGGGAUGGGCCCGCGGCCUAUCAGCUUGUUGGUGGGGUAAUGGCCUACCAAGGCGACGACGGGUAGCCGACCUGAGAGGGUGAUCGGCCACACUGGGACUGAGACACGGCCCAGACUCCUACGGGAGGCAGCAGUGGGGAAUAUUGCACAAUGGGCGCAAGCCUGAUGCAGCGACGCCGCGUGAGGGAUGACGGCCUUCGGUUGUAAACCUCUUUCGCCAGGGACGAAGCGCAAGUGACGGUACCUGGAG